CCUACGGGUGGCAGCAGUGAGGAAUAUUGGACAAUGGACGAGAGUCUGAAGCAGCCAAGUAGCGUGAAGGAUGACUGCCCUAUGGGUUGUAAACUUCUUUUAUAGGGGAAUAAAAUGUUCCACGUGUGGGAUUUUGUAUGUACCAUAUGAAUAAGGAUCGGCUAACUCCGUGCCAGCAGCCGCGGUAAUACGGAGGAUCCGAGCGUUAUCCGGAUUGAUUGGGGUUAAAGGGAGCGUAGGUGGUUUGUUAAGUCAGUUGUGAAAUUCUUCGGCUCAACCGUAAAAUUGCAUUUGAAACUGGCAAUCUUGAGUACAGUAGAGGUGGGCAGAAUUCGUGGUGUAGCGGUGAAAUGCUUAGAUAUCUCGAAGAAUACCGAUUGCGAAGGCAGCUCACUGGACUGAGACUGACACUGAGGCUCGAAAGUGUGGGUAUCAAACAGGAUUAGAUACCCUAGUAGUC
This 460-nucleotide ribosomal RNA is filed under the name uncultured bacterium. RNAcentral's name for it is "partial 16S ribosomal RNA". It matches the Rfam family "Bacterial small subunit ribosomal RNA", at positions 338 to 795 of the family's 1533-position model. The record is from RNAcentral.